GACGAACGCUGGCGGCGUGCCUAAUACAUGCAAGUUGAGCGCUGAAGGUUGGUACUUGUACCAACUGGAUGAGCAGCGAACGGGUGAGUAACGCGUGGGGAAUCUGCCUUUGAGCGGGGGACAACAUUUGGAAACGAAUGCUAAUACCGCAUAAAAACUUUAAACACAAGUUUUAAGUUUGAAAGAUGCAAUUGCAUCACUCAAAGAUGAUCCCGCGUUGUAUUAGCUAGUUGGUGAGGUAAAGGCUCACCAAGGCGAUGAUACAUAGCCGACCUGAGAGGGUGAUCGGCCAAAUUGGGACGGAGACACGGCCCAAACUCCUACGGGAGGCAGCAGGAGGGAAACUUCGGCAAGGGACGAAAGUCUGACCGAGCAACGCCGCGUGAGUGAAGAAGGGUUUCGGAUCGUAAAACUCUGUUGGUAGAGAAGAACGGUGGUGAGAGUGGAAAGCUCAUCAAGUGACGGUAACUACCCAGAAAGGGACGGCUAACUACGUG
Molecule: ribosomal RNA, 497 nt
Filed under: uncultured bacterium
Lineage: Bacteria
Description: partial 16S ribosomal RNA
Rfam family: Bacterial small subunit ribosomal RNA
Source: RNAcentral